UUUUAUCUUUAGCAAUGCUGAUAAAACUGAAUUUUUUUAAAAAAAGAGUAUUUCCAGCCUUCUAACCAAAUAUUAGAGACUUUUACAAAAGCACUCUCACAAAAUAAUGCUUUUAUAAUCAAUUUAAAAGUCUUUCAAAUCGUUAAUCAUUUUCUAAAGGCGAAAAAGAAGAAUCACCAAUCUUCAUACCAUUUAAUAAAGCUAUUUUAAUAAAACGCAAUACAAAUUGUUGUAAAUUAGUAUUUGAAUAAUUUUCACGUUGUUACCUUAUUUUGCAGUUUCCUAUCACUUUGUAUUGAAUUAACUAAAUCCAAUAUUACAGUUCCUUAUACCAAGUACUUCACAUUUUCUGUUUUUGUUUUAUGCAGAAAAACAGAUCAAGUUAA
Hydra vulgaris (swiftwater hydra) is the source of this 386-nucleotide long non-coding RNA. RefSeq lists it as uncharacterized. NCBI's taxonomy places the organism in Eukaryota, Metazoa, Cnidaria, Hydrozoa, Anthoathecata, Hydridae. The record is from RefSeq and is a predicted model, not a curated record.